CAGCCGCCGCGGUAAUACAGAGGGUGCGAGCGUUAAUCGGAUUUACUGGGCGUAAAGCGUGCGUAGGCGGUUUGUUAGGUCUGCUGUGAAAUCCCCGGGCUCAACCUGGGAAUGGCAGUGGAUACUGGCAAGCUAGAGUGUGUCAGAGGAUGGUGGAAUUCCCGGUGUAGCGGUGAAAUGCGUAGAGAUCGGGAGGAACAUCAGUGGCGAAGGCGGCCAUCUGGGACAACACUGACGCUGAGGCACGAAAGCGUGGGGAGCAAACAGGAUUAGAUACCCCCGUAGUCCCUGUCUCUUAUAC
Molecule: ribosomal RNA, 301 nt
Filed under: uncultured bacterium
Lineage: Bacteria
Description: partial 16S ribosomal RNA
Rfam family: Bacterial small subunit ribosomal RNA
Source: RNAcentral